Molecule: ribosomal RNA, 198 nt
Filed under: uncultured bacterium
Lineage: Bacteria
Description: partial 16S ribosomal RNA
Rfam family: Bacterial small subunit ribosomal RNA
Source: RNAcentral
CUGGAGUUUGGCAGAGGGGGGUGGAAUUCCACGUGUAGCAGUGAAAUGCGUAGAGAUGUGGAGGAACACCGAUGGCGAAGGCAGCCCCCUGGGCCAAUACUGACGCUCAUGCACGAAAGCGUGGGGAGCAAACAGGAUUAGAUACCCUGGUAGUCCACGCCCUUUACGAUGUCAACUAGGUGUUGGGAGGGUUAAACC